RNAcentral lists this ribosomal RNA (579 nucleotides) under uncultured bacterium. RNAcentral's name for it is "bacterial SSU rRNA". It matches the Rfam family "Bacterial small subunit ribosomal RNA", at positions 202 to 801 of the family's 1533-position model. The record is from RNAcentral.
AAAAACCCAGGUGGUGUGAGAUGGAUCCGCGUCUGAUUAGCCAGUUGGCGGGGUAACGGCCCACCAAAGCGACGAUCAGUAGCCGACCUGAGAGGGUGACCGGCCACAUUGGGACUGAGACACGGCCCAAACUCCUACGGGAGGCAGCAGUGGGGAAUAUUGCACAAUGGGCGCAAGCCUGAUGCAGCGACGCCGCGUGAGUGAAGAAGUAUCUCGGUAUGUAAAGCUCUAUCAGCAGGGAAGAAAAUGACGGUACCUGACUAAGAAGCCCCGGCUAACUACGUGCCAGCAGCCGCGGUAAUACGUAGGGGGCAAGCGUUAUCCGGAUUUACUGGGUGUAAAGGGAGCGUAGACGGCGACGCAAGUCUGGAGUGAAAGCCCGGGGCCCAACCCCGGGACUGCUUUGGAAACUGUGCUGCUGGAGUGCAGGAGAGGUAAGUGGAAUUCCUAGUGUAGCGGUGAAAUGCGUAGAUAUUAGGAGGAACACCAGUGGCGAAGGCGGCUUACUGGACUGUAACUGACGUUGAGGCUCGAAAGCGUGGGGAGCAAACAGGAUUAGAUACCCUGGUAGUCCACGCC